AUACGUAGGUGGCAAGCGUUGUCCGGAAUUACUGGGUGUAAAGGGAGCGCAGGCGGGGAUGCAAGUUGGAUGUGAAAUACCGCAGCUUAACUGCGGAGCUGCAUCCAAAACUGUAUUUCUUGAGUGAAGUAGAGGUAGGCGGAAUUCCUAGUGUAGCGGUGAAAUGCGUAGAUAUUAGGAGGAACACCAGUGGCGAAGGCGGCCUACUGGGCUUUAACUGACGCUGAGGCUCGAAAGUGUGGGGAGCAAACAGGAUUAGAUACCCUGGUAGUCCACACUGUAAACGAUGAUUGCUAGGUGUGGGGGGACUGACCCCUUCCGUGCCGGAGUAAACACAAUAAGCAAUCCACCUGGGGAGUACGACCGCAAGGUUGAAACUCAAAGGAAUUGACGGGG
RNAcentral lists this ribosomal RNA (396 nucleotides) under uncultured bacterium. RNAcentral's name for it is "partial 16S ribosomal RNA". It matches the Rfam family "Bacterial small subunit ribosomal RNA", at positions 523 to 918 of the family's 1533-position model. The record is from RNAcentral.